UCUGAGGCCUCAACAAACCACCAAAUGGAGAGAACCUGAGGCCCUACCAGGACUGGACCAGUCAUUACAACUCUCUACAGAAAGACCUAUUUGACGUCUUCCCCACACAUGGCUGCCUCUCCAGAUUAACCACUUGGUUCACCAGCAGAUGCAGGUCCUGGCAAGGAAUAGACAGUUGGCUAUGGCUAUGGCUCACUAGAUAGUUGGCUAAUGGCUCCCCACUGGCUUUUUUACUGGUUGGUACUUAUAUCUAGACCUUGGACUAUUUAUUGGUUCUUCCCAUUCGUUCCCUUCUAAUCAAGAUCCUGCUUGACCUCUAAUCUCUGUCUUCUACACUGAUACCUACAUUACUGCCUGGAUCCUUCCAGGCUCUUCCAGAAUACAUACCCUUUCUGUAAGCCCAUCCAUACUUGUUUGCAGAGCCCAGGGAAAGGUAAA
This 438-nucleotide long non-coding RNA is filed under the name Chinchilla lanigera (long-tailed chinchilla). RNAcentral's name for it is "lncRNA (ENSCLAG00000026708.1)". The record is from RNAcentral. Lineage: Eukaryota; Metazoa; Chordata; Mammalia; Rodentia; Chinchillidae.